GGGCAGCAGGACUCUGGGUAUCCCUCAGAGGUGAGGAAUCACUUCAGGUGCUCAAAGGAAAAUUGCCUUUUCCUGUGGUUCCUUUGUCAAAGCUGGGACGCAGCUGAGCAGAGACAGCAGCUGUCCCUGGGAGGUGACAGCCAGGAGCCUUUGCAGCUCCUUGAGUGGCCAGAUGUCUUCUCUGGGCUCUCCUUUCCCUUUCCACUCCCUGACUUCUCUCUUCCUCCCUACCCUCAGUUAGACUUCUAUCUCCCUCUUGGUUCUCUGCCUGUUUUUGUGACUGUGUCCUCGUUCCAAGUGCCUCUCCCUGUUCCCUCUGCUCCCUGCACAGGCACAGGCAGCCACCGUGGCUGGAGCUGCUGCUCCCCAGCCUGGAGAAGACCUGCCCUGUGCUCCAUCACUCUUGGCCUGUUGCCAGGCAACGCAGCAUCACAUGGAUUUCACUCCCAAGCUCCCAAACAAACUGCAGACAUAGGGGGUUUUUCUCCUGCUCUUCCAGAGAAGGACCUCACCUGCCUCUCUGGCAGGUCUGAGGGGUCUCCAGUGGUCACUGGCUUUGCUGCAGCUCCUCACUUUGCCUCCCUAUCUGCCAGUUUGGCACCUGGGAAGUCACACACUGAGUUUUCUUGGAAGGCAGUGGCUCCCUCUGGCCACAGCCCCACUUGGAGUGGUGGGAAACCCUGGUGGUGGAUGCUGCAGGGUUCUUGGUGGCACCUGCUCCGGGAACACAUUGUCCCUGCAGCCAGCAGGGACCAGCAGCUGGGGUUCUCAGCUCCUCAUUCCUCCUGGGUGCUGCUGCUGAGCCCUACAACAGGAGAGCUGCGGGGCCAGAGGGAGGAAAAGGAGAUAAAACCAUCCACACCUCCAUGUGGUAGUCAGGAGCAGAUUUUUUUACCUAGAUCCUUGUCAUCCAUCCCACUGCUGCUUCCAGAUGUUUCUGUUGUAGCUCUGUGACUCAGACCAGGAGCUUUGACUCAGAAGGGGCCUCCUCUGCUGGCACAGGUGGGAAGGAACAUCCCCAGGAGCAAGAAGUGCAGCACCCUCUGAAAUGGGAAGGCCUAAUGUGGGACAUGGGCCCAGCCCUCAGUAUCAGAACAGAUCCCAUCACUAACAAUAACGAGCAGGAAGGUGUUUUUUGAUGCUUCUUAACUGUCUGCAGGGGCUGAAGGACUUUUCCUUGCCUUGUGCCCUUCACCCUGCCAGUCAGGAAUGCCAGUUCCAAGGGGCAUCGCUGCUCCUCCUGAGCACCAUCAUGGAAAUGCAAAGAUAAAAUCAACCAGGGCAGAUACAGACAGAUACAGAUUCACAGCUUUGGGGCUCUGCAUCCCUCAACAGGCACACAGGGAUGGAUUCACACCUCCCCUG
RNAcentral lists this long non-coding RNA (1365 nucleotides) under Cyanistes caeruleus (blue tit). Its description in RNAcentral is "lncRNA (ENSCCEG00000016936.1)". The record is from RNAcentral. Lineage: Eukaryota; Metazoa; Chordata; Aves; Passeriformes; Paridae.